Molecule: ribosomal RNA, 253 nt
Filed under: uncultured bacterium
Lineage: Bacteria
Description: partial 16S ribosomal RNA
Rfam family: Bacterial small subunit ribosomal RNA
Source: RNAcentral
UACGGGGGGGGCAAGCGUUGUUCGGAAUUACUGGGCGUAAAGGGCUCGUAGGCGGCCAACUAAGUCGGAUGUGAAAUCCCCAGGCUCAACCUGGGAACUGCAUCCGAUACUGGAUGGCUUGAAUUCGGGAGAGGGAUGCAGAAUUCCAGGUGUAGCGGUGAAAUGCGUAGAUAUCUGGAGGAAUACCGGUGGCGAAGGCGGCCGCCUGGCCUGUAACUGACGCUGAGACGCGAAAGCCAGGGGAGCAAACAGG